CCGUUUUCGGAGGUACUCGAGUGGCGAACGGGUGAGUAACACGUGGGUGAUCUGCCCUGCACUCUGGGAUAAGCCUGGGAAACUGGGUCUAAUACCGGAUAGGACCGCACUUUAGUGUGUGUGGUGGAAAGUUUUUUCGGUGUAGGAUGAGCCCGCGGCCUAUCAGCUUGUUGGUGGGGUAAUGGCCUACCAAGGCGGCGACGGGUAGCCGGACUGAGAGGUUGGUCGGCCACAUUGGGACUGAGAUACGGCCCAG
This 256-nucleotide ribosomal RNA is filed under the name uncultured Actinomycetales bacterium. Its description in RNAcentral is "partial 16S ribosomal RNA". It matches the Rfam family "Bacterial small subunit ribosomal RNA", at positions 76 to 334 of the family's 1533-position model. The record is from RNAcentral. Lineage: Bacteria; Bacillati; Actinomycetota; Actinomycetes; Actinomycetales.